UACGUAGGGUGCGAGCGUUGUCCGGAAUUAUUGGGCGUAAAGAGCUCGUAGGCGGUGUGUCACGUCGGCCGUGAAAACCUGCAGCUUAACUGUGGGCGUGCGGUCGAUACGGGCAUCACUGGAGUUCGGCAGGGGAGACUGGAAUUCCUGGUGUAGUGGUGAAAUGCGUAGAUAUCGGGAGGAACACCAGUGGCGAAGGCGACUUCCUGGCCUGUUCUUGACGCUGAGGCGCGAAAGCUAGGGGAGCAAACGGG
This 254-nucleotide ribosomal RNA is filed under the name uncultured bacterium. RNAcentral's name for it is "partial 16S ribosomal RNA". It matches the Rfam family "Bacterial small subunit ribosomal RNA", at positions 524 to 776 of the family's 1533-position model. The record is from RNAcentral.